AUGAUUUUCAGUUCCAGGGCUACCCACUCUACAACUACUAUCAGUUCCUUCGACAGCAAAGUAGCUCGUCACUCCCAACACAAGUGCCAGAGGGGACACCUUCUGAACCUGCCAUCCUCCCUCCAACACCUGGACCUUUACAGGAAACCCAAACUCAAGCAGCACAGGAGUCUACCACUGUGUCAUUUCCAGAAGCUUAUCACAUGCCUACCACUCCUUCUGAUCAGGAUGUUAAUGCAGUUACAGAUGAGCCAAAUGUUGCAAGCCUCAUGGAGCCAUAGAGGAAGACUUUUGAACAGACAGUAGCUAAAAGGGUGAAGGAAAAUCACCACAGAUAUGUUUUGGAUGAGUGCCCCCUAAAGUAAAAAAGCUGAAUCUGUGAGAUGUACAGUAUUAACCACAGUAACACUGUUGCAAGCAUGUUAAAUAUCUGGAGUCCUUCCAUUGUUUUUAUUGCUUUACAUGGAAAAAUAAAACCUCUUGUCAAGCUCCCAGCAUUAACACUGUUUUGUUAAAUGAUAAACUAUUUAAUUAAAUCUGCAUGUUCUUUCUUGGUACUGUACAUACUGUAUGCUAUGUCCAAAACAAAAAUCAAUAAAGUUUUGUUCUUGUAGCCCCACAAAUGUGUGUUUUCACUGAC
This 640-nucleotide long non-coding RNA is filed under the name Lepisosteus oculatus (spotted gar). RNAcentral describes it as "lncRNA (ENSLOCG00000022527.1)". The record is from RNAcentral. Lineage: Eukaryota; Metazoa; Chordata; Actinopteri; Semionotiformes; Lepisosteidae.